GAAAUGCGAUAAGUAAUGUGAAUUGCAGAAUUCAGUGAAUCAUCGAAUCUUUGAACGCACAUUGCGCCCGGCAGCAAUCUGCCGGGCAUGCCUGUCCGAGCGUCAUUUCUCCCCUCGAGCGCGGUUCGGCCCCUAGCGGGCCGUGCCGCCGCCCGGUGUUGGGGCACUGCGGGCCCUCGAGCCCGCAGGCCCUCAAAUGAAGUGGCGGUCCCGCCGCGGCGCCCCCUGCGUAGUAGUAAAGCACCUCGCAUCGGGUCCCGGCGACGGCCAGCCGUCGAACCCAUAUCACUUUUGAUGGUUUGACCUCGGAUCAGGUAGGGAUACCCGCUGAACUUAA
RNAcentral lists this unclassified non-coding RNA (337 nucleotides) under uncultured Microascus. RNAcentral describes it as "sequence contains ITS1". The stretch from base 1 to 105 matches the Rfam family "5.8S ribosomal RNA", at positions 50 to 154 of the family's 154-position model. The record is from RNAcentral. Lineage: Eukaryota; Fungi; Ascomycota; Sordariomycetes; Microascales; Microascaceae.